Molecule: ribosomal RNA, 382 nt
Filed under: uncultured bacterium
Lineage: Bacteria
Description: bacterial SSU rRNA
Rfam family: Bacterial small subunit ribosomal RNA
Source: RNAcentral
AUUGAACGCUGGCGGAAUGCUUUACACAUGCAAGUCGAACGGUAGAGGGGGCAACCCCUUGAGAGUGGCGAACGGGUGAGUAAUAUAUCGGAACGUGCCCAGUCGUGGGGAUAACGUAGCGAAAGUUACGCUAAUACCGCAUACGAUCUAAGGAUGAAAGCGGGGGAUCGCAAGACCUCGCGCGAUUGGAGCGGCCGAUAUCAGAUUAGGUAGUUGGUGGGGUAAAGGCUCACCAAGCCAACGAUCUGUAGCUGGUCUGAGAGGACGACCAGCCACACUGGAACUGAGACACGGUCCAGACUCCUACGGGAGGCAGCAGUGGGGAAUUUUGGACAAUGGGCGCAAGCCUGAUCCAGCAAUGCCGCGUGCAGGAUGAAGGCCU